Paramuricea clavata is the source of this 206-nucleotide non-coding RNA. The record is from the annotation of a GenBank genome assembly. Lineage: Eukaryota; Metazoa; Cnidaria; Anthozoa; Malacalcyonacea; Plexauridae.
UGCGCCUUUAACCGAGCUACUACGGAGCAGGUAGUGUCGAAUGACUUGACGUCGGGACUCCUGUCGUACGUCGACAGGGGUCCCUUCGGGGAACCUUCGUCCACCAGGUUGAAUAAAGAGGAACGUACCGGUCCAGGAUGGAAACAUAGCAGACAAAAGUUCCCGCGUCAAACAGUAGUGGGAUAGCACCUGUGAAUAGGAGGCGU